Non-coding RNA from Triticum aestivum (bread wheat), 135 nucleotides. The record is from Rfam. Lineage: Eukaryota; Viridiplantae; Streptophyta; Magnoliopsida; Poales; Poaceae.
AAAAUACUCCCUCCGUCCGGAAAUACUUGUCAUCAAAAUAAAUAAAAGGGGAUGUAUCUAGAUGUAUUUUAGUUCUAGAUACACUUUUUUUUUACCAUUUUGAUGACAAGUUUUUUCGGACGGAGGGAGUAGAUC